GCCUGGCUAGCUCAAUCGGUAGAGCGUGAGACUCUUAAUCUCAAGGCUGUGGGUUCAAGCCCCACGUUGGGCU
Molecule: transfer RNA, 73 nt
Filed under: Yarrowia lipolytica
Lineage: Eukaryota; Fungi; Ascomycota; Dipodascomycetes; Dipodascales
Also listed under: 1 other name
Rfam family: tRNA
About the family: Transfer RNA (tRNA) molecules are approximately 80 nucleotides in length. Their secondary structure includes four short double-helical elements and three loops (D, anti-codon, and T loops).
Source: RNAcentral